Molecule: ribosomal RNA, 253 nt
Filed under: Blautia caecimuris
Lineage: Bacteria; Bacillati; Bacillota; Clostridia; Lachnospirales; Lachnospiraceae
Description: partial 16S ribosomal RNA
Rfam family: Bacterial small subunit ribosomal RNA
Source: RNAcentral
UACGUAGGGGGCAAGCGUUAUCCGGAUUUACUGGGUGUAAAGGGAGCGUAGACGGAGCAGCAAGUCUGAUGUGAAAGGCGGGGGCUCAACCCCUGGACUGCAUUGGAAACUGUUGGUCUUGAGUACCGGAGAGGUAAGCGGAAUUCCUAGUGUAGCGGUGAAAUGCGUAGAUAUUAGGAGGAACACCAGUGGCGAAGGCGGCUUACUGGACGGUAACUGACGUUGAGGCUCGAAAGCGUGGGGAGCAAACAGG